This 786-nucleotide ribosomal RNA is filed under the name Staphylococcus aureus. Its description in RNAcentral is "bacterial SSU rRNA". It matches the Rfam family "Bacterial small subunit ribosomal RNA", at positions 52 to 821 of the family's 1533-position model. The record is from RNAcentral. RNAcentral also lists the same sequence under 1 other name. Lineage: Bacteria; Bacillati; Bacillota; Bacilli; Caryophanales; Staphylococcaceae.
UAUAAUGCAGUCGAGCGACAGAUAAGGAGCUUGCUCCUUUGACGUUAGCGGCGGACGGGUGAGUAACACGUGGGUAACCUACCUAUAAGACUGGAAUAACUCCGGGAAACCGGGGCUAAUGCCGGAUAACAUUUAGAACCGCAUGGUUCUAAAGUGAAAGAUGGUUUUGCUAUCACUUAUAGAUGGACCCGCGCCGUAUUAGCUAGUUGGUAAGGUAACGGCUUACCAAGGCAACGAUACGUAGCCGACCUGAGAGGGUGAUCGGCCACACUGGAACUGAGACACGGUCCAGACUCCUACGGGAGGCAGCAGUAGGGAAUCUUCCGCAAUGGGCGAAAGCCUGACGGAGCAACGCCGCGUGAGUGAUGAAGGGUUUCGGCUCGUAAAACUCUGUUAUUAGGGAAGAACAAACGUGUAAGUAACUGUGCACGUCUUGACGGUACCUAAUCAGAAAGCCACGGCUAACUACGUGCCAGCAGCCGCGGUAAUACGUAGGUGGCAAGCGUUAUCCGGAAUUAUUGGGCGUAAAGCGCGCGUAGGCGGUUUCUUAAGUCUGAUGUGAAAGCCCACGGCUCAACCGUGGAGGGUCAUUGGAAACUGGGAGACUUGAGUGCAGAAGAGGAAAGUGGAAUUCCAUGUGUAGCGGUGAAAUGCGCAGAGAUAUGGAGGAACACCAGUGGCGAAGGCGACUUUCUGGUCUGUAACUGACGCUGAUGUGCGAAAGCGUGGGGAUCAAACAGGAUUAGAUACCCUGGUAGUCCACGCCGUAAACGAUGAGUGCUAAGU